UAUUUCUGUUUUUCUGGGUGGGUUGGUAAUUUUCUCUUAGUAACAGAUAACAAAUGUGUGUAAUAGGUUAUGCUGCUAUUUUAGGGUGCAGAAGAGUUGGCAGUCAGAAACCUAGUCAGUUCAGCUCAGAUCCACCUCUGGGAGAAUUCUGUUCAUGCUGCAUUAACCCACAUCUAAGCUGGUCUAUGGCCUUGUUGUGAGAGGCAUCUUCAGAAAUUUGGAGCCUCGAAGGAAAGAAUGGAAGAGACAGCACAGUGACCAGUUAAUGGGAGUGCAGGAGUGUCAGUUAAGGGGUCAAUGAUAAGAUUAAAUCAGAGUGAACCGAGGCCAGAGAACUCAAUCUACUCUAAAAAAGGAGAGACUCCUGCAGAGCUGAUGGCAACCUGAUUUCCUGCAUCUAUUCUAACUGACCUGAGAGAAGCGUCAGUGAGCACAGGGCACCAGGCAGAGCUUCUCUGAGUCACCUAGAUGGUUUCAUCCAUCUCUGGUUUCUAAUGUUGUCCUCUAAAAACCUUGAUUAAUGGCAUGUAA
Long non-coding RNA from Phacochoerus africanus (Common warthog), 531 nucleotides. RefSeq lists it as uncharacterized. The record is from RefSeq and is a predicted model, not a curated record. The transcript is spliced from 3 exons. NCBI's taxonomy places the organism in Eukaryota, Metazoa, Chordata, Mammalia, Artiodactyla, Suidae.